RNAcentral lists this unclassified non-coding RNA (238 nucleotides) under Hevea brasiliensis (rubber tree). Lineage: Eukaryota; Viridiplantae; Streptophyta; Magnoliopsida; Malpighiales; Euphorbiaceae. The record is from RNAcentral.
GGAACUUUGAAUUCUUUCUCAUUUGGUAGACUCUCAUCAACAUUCUUUCUAUUCUGGAUGCCACCAAAAAACAGCUGACGCAACUGUGUGUCACUUCCAACAUUCAUGUACUUUGCAUCAGCACAGUACUUAGCUGCCCAGUUACGAAAUCUAUUCACAGCAACCAGCUGCUCAGCUUUAGCGACUUUCUCAAUGUCAGCAAGAUAGGCACGGUCAACCAGCACACCCUCAGUUUCCA